RNAcentral lists this long non-coding RNA (741 nucleotides) under Pongo abelii (Sumatran orangutan). RNAcentral describes it as "lincRNA". Lineage: Eukaryota; Metazoa; Chordata; Mammalia; Primates; Hominidae. The record is from RNAcentral.
CAGGAGGCAGUCAGAGAACGUUUGUGGAAUGAAUAAAUAAAAGCAUAUUUUGAGGGAAUAAAGAAGCAGAAAAACAAAGAAGAAUCCGGAGAAGAUGCGCAUAAAUCUCCACCAAGUGCUGCCAAGGCUUCCCAGCCGAGGCUGCUGAAAAGACCCUGUGGAGCGGCUGCUCUGCCUGGGAUACACACGUUUCAAGAGUCUCAGUUCCCGCUUUGCCACCAUCUUCUCCUCUGAUCUCCUUACCUGCUUCAAAAGACUCCAGAAUCUUCUCGGUUCUCAGAGAAGGCUGAAUCCACCUAUGACCUAUGACCUAGUGGGUGCGUCCUGUGCCAAAAUUGUUUACCUUCUGGUCCCCGGAGCCAUGGGUCACGACCUGGUCCUCACGUAGGCCCGCUCCGCAGCAGACCCCAUCUGUGGCUUCUCCCAUCUCACUGGGGAAGAAGGAGAGCCCUGGGGAUGUGGAGAAGCCCCCCCGCCACAUCCCCCACAUCUUACAGAAUCUCCAUUGAGUCCCUGGGGGCACAUCCCUCAGCAGGACAGGAACAGUCUUUGCCGCGGCAUGCUGAGGGCUGUGCUGGGGAUGAGCGCCCAGUGGCUGUGGACUAAGUGAAGGAAAUGACCGUGCUCUUCUCCCAGCUGGAUGGCGAGGCCGGGCAGGAACGGCGGAAUUCCUGCUCUUUGUUUUCAAACACUUUGCUGUCAAGCUAUUUGAAUAAUAAAUACACAUUAUAAAAAUGUAAA